AUGUGUGUUGAGAAGGUAAUUGGUGGUCUUCCGCAGAGACGCUCAGCUGCAGAUGGGGGAGAUGCAGGUCAUGCCAUUUCCUUACUCUCCACUGGCUKUUGUGCCAAAGGGAAGGUUCGGUCCGGCUGUGAUCAGACAUUGCCCCCUCCCCAGGAUCCAAGGAUCUCCUUCUACAGUGCCCAUACUCUCUUCAUUUCUAUAUUCCAUCUGAUCAUUUUGCAGCAGCUUUCCCUUCUGCAGUGUACCAAAGUGCUUGCCUUCUGGAGAGGGAGCCCCCCAUGGCUUGUUCUCACUCGUCCCAGGGAGGUGCUCCUCCUGCAUGGCUCUUCACUGACGGCUGCAGUUGUAAUUGAGCUGCUGUAA
Apteryx haastii (Great spotted kiwi) is the source of this 363-nucleotide long non-coding RNA. Lineage: Eukaryota; Metazoa; Chordata; Aves; Apterygiformes; Apterygidae. The record is from Ensembl.